CAGCACCUCAAGUGGUCAGGAUGAUUAUUGGGCCUAAAGCAUCCGUAGCCGGCGCUGUAAGUUUUCGGUUAAAUCUGUACGCUCAACGUACAGGCUGCCGGGAAUACUGCAGCGCUAGGGAGUGGGAGAGGUAGACGGUACUCGGUAGGAAGGGGUAAAAUCCUUUGAUCUAUUGAUGACCACCUGUGGCGAAGGGGGUCUACCAGAACACGUCCGACGGUGAGGGAUGAAAGCUGGGGGAGCAAACCGGAUUAGAGACCCGAGUAGUCC
This 270-nucleotide ribosomal RNA is filed under the name uncultured archaeon. RNAcentral describes it as "partial 16S ribosomal RNA". It matches the Rfam family "Archaeal small subunit ribosomal RNA", at positions 477 to 747 of the family's 1478-position model. The record is from RNAcentral.